RNAcentral lists this ribosomal RNA (913 nucleotides) under Siphanthera hostmannii. RNAcentral's name for it is "eukaryotic LSU rRNA". The stretch from base 685 to 913 matches the Rfam family "Eukaryotic large subunit ribosomal RNA", at positions 1 to 231 of the family's 3401-position model. Lineage: Eukaryota; Viridiplantae; Streptophyta; Magnoliopsida; Myrtales; Melastomataceae. The record is from RNAcentral.
AACAAGGUUUCCGUAGGUGAACCUGCGGAAGGAUCAUUGUCGAAACCGAAAGAAAGAAGGACUCGCGCACGGUAAUCCAGGGCUCGCGGGCGUAUCGUGCUCGCGCGGCUCGCGUCGUUUCGUCGGGGGCCCCUUCCCGGGACCCGCGUCUUGCGUGCGGACCGAACAAACACACCCCCAGCACGGAUCGUGCCAAGGAGCUGAAAUGUAGACGAUCGUCGUCCGACGCCCCGUUCUCAUUCUCGACAUGGGUCGGCGGCGGACAAGGGCGACCCUCGCUCUAGAAGCAUUUGAACGACUCUCGGCAACGGAUAUCUCGGCUCAUGCAUCGAUGAAGAACGUAGCGAAAUGCGAUACUUGGUGUGAAUUGCAGAAUCCCGCGAACCACCAAUUCUUUGAACGCAAGUUGCGCCCGAAGCCAUCCGGCAGAGGGCACGCCUGGCUGGGUGUCGUGAAUCCCUUGCCCCUUGGGCUCCCGCACGAACAUGGGUGGGGGAAUAUGCUCGCCCGGGCGCAGAAUGUGGCCUCCCGUAAUCGGCGUGCGCGUCACUUCGAUGCGCGGUUGGCCUAAAGUCGAGCACUGUGGCCACGGGUUCCACGGCGGUCGGUGGAUCGAAUGCGAUUGGCUGCGUCGUGGGCUCGGCGGGCUGCGGGCACAGGACUAGGACAUAGUGUCGACGAGCGCGAUCCCAGGUCAGGCGGGGCUACCCGCUGAGUUUAAGCAUAUCAAUAAGCGGAGGAAAAGAAACUAACGAGGAUUCCCUUAGUAGCGGCGAGCGAACCGGGAGGAGCCCAGCAUGAAAAUCGUUCGCCGUCGGCGGUCGAAUUGUAGUCUGGAGAAGCGUCCUCAGUGACGGACCGGACCCAAGUUCGCUGGAAGGCGGCGCCGGAGAGGGUGAGCCCCGUCGUGCCC